AGAACGAACGCUGGCGGCAUGCCUAACACAUGCAAGUCGAACGAGACCUUCGGGUCUAGUGGCGCACGGGUGCGUAACGCGUGGGAAUCUGCCCUUAGGUACGGAAUAACAGUGAGAAAUUACUGCUAAUACCGUAUGAUGUCUUCGGACCAAAGAUUUAUCGCCUAGGGAUGAGCCCGCGUUGGAUUAGCUAGUUGGUGGGGUAAAGGCCUACCAAGGCGACGAUCCAUAGCUGGUCUGAGAGGAUGAUCAGCCACACUGGGACUGAGACACGGCCCAGACUCCUACGGGAGGCAGCAGUGGGGAAUAUUGGACAAUGGGCGAAAAGCCUGAUCCAGCAAUGCCGCGUGAGUGAUGAAGGUCUUCGGAUCGUAAAGCCCUUUUCUGCGUGACGAAAACAGACGGUAGCGCAGGAAUAAGUCUCGGCUAACUACGUGCCAGCAGCCGC
RNAcentral lists this ribosomal RNA (448 nucleotides) under uncultured bacterium. RNAcentral's name for it is "SSU rRNA". It matches the Rfam family "Bacterial small subunit ribosomal RNA", at positions 26 to 518 of the family's 1533-position model. The record is from RNAcentral.